Molecule: ribosomal RNA, 253 nt
Filed under: uncultured bacterium
Lineage: Bacteria
Description: partial 16S ribosomal RNA
Rfam family: Bacterial small subunit ribosomal RNA
Source: RNAcentral
GACAGAGGGGGCAAGCGUUGCUCGGAAUUACUGGGCGUAAAGGGCGCGUAGGCGGGAUGGCAAGUCGGUCGUGAAAUCCUUCGGCUCAACCGAAGAACGUCGAUCGAUACUGCUGUUCUUGAGGGUUGCAGAGGAGACUGGAAUUCCCGGUGUAGCGGUGAAAUGUGUAGAGAUCGGGAGGAACACCGGUGGCGAAGGCGGGUCUCUGGGCAAUUCCUGACGCUGAGGCGCGAAAGCGUGGGGAGCAAACGGG